GGCUGCAGUGGGGAAUAUUGCACAAUGGGCGAAAGCCUGAUGCAGCGACGCCGCGUGAGGGAUGACGGCCUUCGGGUUGUAAACCUCUUUCAGUAGGGAAGAAGCGAAAGUGACGGUACCUGCAGAAGAAGCACCGGCUAACUACGUGCCAGCAGCCGCGGUAAUACGUAGGGUGCGAGCGUUAUCCGGAAUUAUUGGGCGUAAAGAGCUCGUAGGCGGUUUGUCGCGUCUGUCGUGAAAGUCCGGGGCUUAACCCCGGAUCUGCGGUGGGUACGGGCAGACUAGAGUGCAGUAGGGGAGACUGGAAUUCCUGGUGUAGCGGUGGAAUGCGCAGAUAUCAGGAGGAACACCGAUGGCGAAGGCAG
Molecule: ribosomal RNA, 365 nt
Filed under: Micrococcus sp.
Lineage: Bacteria; Bacillati; Actinomycetota; Actinomycetes; Micrococcales; Micrococcaceae
Description: bacterial SSU rRNA
Rfam family: Bacterial small subunit ribosomal RNA
Source: RNAcentral